Molecule: long non-coding RNA, 652 nt
Filed under: Helianthus annuus (common sunflower)
Lineage: Eukaryota; Viridiplantae; Streptophyta; Magnoliopsida; Asterales; Asteraceae
Source: RNAcentral
UUCAACCACGCUUAUCUUAUUCGGCUCCUUCCUCCUUUCCCUACAUUCCUCCUUUCCCUACAUUCAGACCAGAUUAACCUAACGUUGCGGCACCGCCUCUCUACUGGCCGUCUUUCGCUUCGUCUCCGCCGUACUGACCAUCAUCGCUUGAAUCGGCCGAUUCCGAACCAGGUUACUUUCUUUUGCACGAACCACGUUAGGGUAUUCCAUAAUUGGAUUUUUGCCGGCCUCUGUUCAACGAUUUUCUCAACUACAUGUUUUUUGGUUGUUUCAAUAUGAGUUUACUGAGGACACCGGUGUAUGUCGCACCACAUCACUCGAUUUUGACCGGAUCUGGGCUGGCUCUUGCAUCGUGCCAACUGGACUUUAAAAUAAAGCUUCGACACCCUUGGUAAAUAGGGUUUACUACAGUUAAAUUCAAAGAGAGAACCCAGAGAACACCGGUGUAUGUCGCUCCACAUCAGUCGAUUUUGACCGGAUCUGGGCUGGCUCCCGCAUCGUGUUACAUCAACCUUCCGAUUUGAACACAGGAACCCUUCUUGCUCCAGUUUUUCCCCGAUUUCUGGUUAGUCAUUAUCUUGCUCCAGUCCUUGCCCGAUUUUUUGUUACUUCGCUGAUAAAAUUCUUCAGUUAGUGAUCUGAAUUUCGGAAU